Small nuclear RNA from Cololabis saira (Pacific saury), 110 nucleotides. NCBI's taxonomy places the organism in Eukaryota, Metazoa, Chordata, Actinopteri, Beloniformes, Belonidae. The record is from RefSeq and is a predicted model, not a curated record.
GUGUUACUUCGGUAGCACAUGUACUAAAAUUGGAACGAUACAGAGAAGAUUUGCAUGGCCCCUGGGGGCGCAUGGAUGACACGCACAAUUGUGGAGGGUUCCCAAUUUUU